This 67-nucleotide microRNA precursor is filed under the name Bombyx mori (domestic silkworm). RNAcentral describes it as "mir-2774 microRNA precursor family". It matches the Rfam family "mir-2774 microRNA precursor family". Lineage: Eukaryota; Metazoa; Arthropoda; Insecta; Lepidoptera; Bombycidae. The record is from Rfam by way of RNAcentral.
ACAACGUUCGGACCGUCGGUCUACCGAGCAAUAUUACCCGCUCGGUGGAAGAUCUUCCCUUUGUCGU